RNAcentral lists this long non-coding RNA (727 nucleotides) under Salmo salar (Atlantic salmon). RNAcentral describes it as "lncRNA (ENSSSAG00000114000.1)". The record is from RNAcentral. Lineage: Eukaryota; Metazoa; Chordata; Actinopteri; Salmoniformes; Salmonidae.
GCGUGAACUGUUAGGAAUCGAGAAGACUCUCACAACCCCUUUCAGACGGCAAUCUGACGGGCAAGUCAAAAGAUUUAAUGCCAUUCCACAGGAGAUCUUAGCCACUACCACAGAACGUUGUCAUUGGGACUGGGACCUUAAACCCCCUGAAAGCUUCUGGACAUCAGAACAUUGAUUACUCACCUCGAACUGGAAGAAGAUUUUUAUUUAAUGAGUCCGACGCGAAGGAUAUACUGCUUUGUCAAGACAAGGCCCAAAUCUCCAUCAUCAGCAUGAAGAAAAGACAAAGGAAAAGGGGAAGGAGGGUGGGGUGCCUUUGAGACGUGCCUGAACGAUGACACCGAUAAUGUAGAGCUGUCUGGCUUAUUCGUGCAUCUGCAGGACAGAGCAGCUACGUCUGGUAAGAUGAGGGGCGGGGGUGUGUCUAUUUGUCAAUAACUGCUGGUGUGCGAUGUCUAAUAUUAAAGAAGUCUUGAGGUAUUGCUUGCCUAAGGUAGAAUACCUCAUGAUAAGCUGUAGGUUACACUAUCUACCAAGAGAGUUCUCAUUUACAUUAUUCAUCGACGUCUAUUUACCACAACAAACUGAUGCUAGCACUAAGACCAUACUCAACGAGCUGUAUAAGGCCAUAAGCAAACAAGAAAAUGCUCAUCCAGAAGCGGUGCUCCUGGUGGUCGGGGACUUUAAUGCAGGCAAACUUAAAUCCGUUUUACCUCAUUUCUACCAG